AAGGCUUUAGCUUAAUUAAAGUGUCUGUGUUGCAAUCAGAGGAUGUAGGUUAAAAUCCUACAAGUCUUA
This 69-nucleotide transfer RNA is filed under the name Aphyocharax rathbuni. RNAcentral's name for it is "tRNA-Ala". It matches the Rfam family "tRNA". Rfam says of the family: Transfer RNA (tRNA) molecules are approximately 80 nucleotides in length. Their secondary structure includes four short double-helical elements and three loops (D, anti-codon, and T loops). Further hydrogen bonds mediate the characteristic L-shaped molecular structure. tRNAs have two regions of fundamental functional importance: the anti-codon, which is responsible for specific mRNA codon recognition, and the 3' end, to which the tRNAs corresponding amino acid is attached (by aminoacyl-tRNA synthetases). tRNAs cope with the degeneracy of the genetic code in two manners: having more than one tRNA (with a specific anti-codon) for a particular amino acid; and 'wobble' base-pairing, i.e. permitting non-standard base-pairing at the 3rd anti-codon position. The record is from RNAcentral. Lineage: Eukaryota; Metazoa; Chordata; Actinopteri; Characiformes; Characidae.